Ictidomys tridecemlineatus (thirteen-lined ground squirrel) is the source of this 640-nucleotide long non-coding RNA. RefSeq lists it as uncharacterized. The record is from RefSeq and is a predicted model, not a curated record. Lineage: Eukaryota; Metazoa; Chordata; Mammalia; Rodentia; Sciuridae.
ACUUAGAGACGCAGUCCCCGAAAGUGCCCAGGGAGCGCGGGCGGUGCGCCCUACUGCAAGCCUGGGAAUUGCCCUAGGACGGUGCACCUCGUUGUGUUUGCGGAAUCUGGGGGUGGGGGAGAGCGGGAUAGGAUAACAAGAAGAAGGAAAAAGCAGUCGCCGUUGUCCCCGCAACUGUCCUGCAGCCUCUCAUCACCCAGUCCUGGAGACUCCUACUGGGCUCCGAGGAUCUAAGAGAGACACCUUUGGACCGGACCUUGCUUGAUCAUCUGAGGCCAGCGCUUUCUGUCCAUCGAACGAGAUCCUAACAGAAGGAUGAUGGACCGAGCGGGACGGCAGGGCGCGCACAUCUUGGAAAUGGGCAUCAGCGAGGGCGGAGCGAGUAGAGCAAAGAUGGAGAGAAAAGAGAGCAUGAUGUUCUUGGUAUUUUUGAACAAUGCUUUCUAAAUGACGGCGAAGGAGUUCCAAGGAGAGCUGGCAGCCUUGCUCCUGAUCUCAAAGGUCCACUCAUUUUCGUGUCCCUUUUGCUUCUGGCAACACAGUGGAGUCCUUGUACCCCACCAGUUCAGAAAUUACACCCAUGGCCCAGUAACCCAUUCACGAUCCCUGCCACUGUCAAUAAAAGCAGUAAUAGCUGAUA